GACCCUAGGCAUCUUGCAUGGAGGAGUCACUAGAGCUAAAGGAAAUUCGAUGGAGAACCAACUUCCCCCAACCCCUGACUUUCUUCAUUAUGAUGAACUCUUGGAUGGUAAUGAAUAAAAGAAAAUAUUUUUGGAUUUUUGUUUUUGGAGAAAAGGAUGGUUAAGAAAUGGAGAGGAGAAUGGGUUUCUUGCUGGUUGGUUGAGUGCACAAGAGUGUGAGUGUGUUUGGAUGAAGGUGGGAGUAAGGGGAAAUGCUGUUGUGGAUUUAUGGAGGUCGGUCGACCUUCAUUUCUGGGG
This 297-nucleotide long non-coding RNA is filed under the name Sorghum bicolor (sorghum). RNAcentral describes it as "long non-coding RNA (SBIC_LNC004956)". The record is from RNAcentral. Lineage: Eukaryota; Viridiplantae; Streptophyta; Magnoliopsida; Poales; Poaceae.